RNAcentral lists this unclassified non-coding RNA (204 nucleotides) under Hevea brasiliensis (rubber tree). Lineage: Eukaryota; Viridiplantae; Streptophyta; Magnoliopsida; Malpighiales; Euphorbiaceae. The record is from RNAcentral.
AUUCCACUUUAUGAGUUCCUUAAAGAUGUACAGGCUUCUGAUGAGGAAGUAGUUAGGACCCUGAAAUGCAUGAGAAAUGCUUAUACUAACUUUUUGCAGAACAGCUUUUCUAAAAAUUUAUCACUCUUAAGAGAGCUUGGAGUCCCUCAUCUUCCCUAUCUUACUUGGUCACUAGGGGAGAGCAUUUAGUCGGUUCAGUUCUGA